GUCCACACUGUAAACGAUGAAUACUAGGUGUGCGGGGACUGACCCCCUGCGUGCCGCAGUAAACACAAUAAGUAUUCCACCUGGGGAGUACGAUCGCAAGGUUGAAACUCAAAGGAAUUGACGGGGGCCCGCACAAGCGGUGGAUUAUGUGGUUUAAUUCGAAGCAACGCGAAGAACCUUACCAGGGUUUGACAUCCUGCUAACGAAGUAGAGAUACAUUAGGUGCCCUUCGGGGAAAGCAGAGACAGGUGGUGCAUGGUUGUCGU
This 266-nucleotide ribosomal RNA is filed under the name uncultured bacterium. RNAcentral's name for it is "partial 16S ribosomal RNA". It matches the Rfam family "Bacterial small subunit ribosomal RNA", at positions 793 to 1055 of the family's 1533-position model. The record is from RNAcentral.